Molecule: RNase P RNA, 431 nt
Filed under: Bacteroidetes/Chlorobi group bacterium MS-B_bin-24
Lineage: Bacteria; Pseudomonadati
Description: RNase P RNA component class A
Rfam family: Bacterial RNase P class A
About the family: Ribonuclease P (RNase P) is a ubiquitous endoribonuclease, found in archaea, bacteria and eukarya as well as chloroplasts and mitochondria. Its best characterised activity is the generation of mature 5'-ends of tRNAs by cleaving the 5'-leader elements of precursor-tRNAs.
Source: RNAcentral
AUGGAAGGAUGGGCAGUCGCAAGAGCGAAAGCUCUUGAGGAAAGUCCGAACUCCUUGGAACAGCCCGCUUCCUAACAGGAAGGCAGCGAGCCAGUUUGGCUGGCGAGCUGACGGAAAGUGCCACAGAGAAUAGUCUGCCAAUCCGGCUUGCAUCUUUUGCAAGCGGCACGGAGGCGAUGGUGAAACGGUGGGGUAAGAGCCCACCAGCACUUCGGGUGACCGAAGUGGCUCGGCAAACCCCGGGCGGAGCAAGGUCAAAUAGGGAAGCAUUGGGCUUUGNCCAGCCGGGUUGUUCCACCGGUAAACUCUUCGGAGUUUGUGCUUCCGGGUAGACCGCUUGAGGGCAUUGGCAACAAUGCUCCNAGAUAAAUGACUGCCUCCACCAAUCUUUUUGGUGCAGACAGAAUUCGGCUUACAAUCCUUUCAUCGNG